This 396-nucleotide ribosomal RNA is filed under the name uncultured bacterium. RNAcentral describes it as "bacterial SSU rRNA". It matches the Rfam family "Bacterial small subunit ribosomal RNA", at positions 29 to 416 of the family's 1533-position model. The record is from RNAcentral.
AAUGAACGCUGGCGGCGCGCCUAAUACAUGCAAGUCGAGCGAGAAGACGUAGCAAUACGUUUGUAAAGCGGCGAACGGGUGAGGAAUACAUGGGUAACCUACCCUAGAGUGGGGAAUAACUAGCCGAAAGGUUAGCUAAUACCGCGUACGCUCCUUGGACUUCGGUUCAGGGAGGAAAGCGAUGCCGAGGGUAUCGCGCUCUUGGAUGGGCUCAUGUCCUAUCAGCUUGUUGGGAGGUAACGGCUCACCAAGGCUUCGACGGGUAGCUGGUCUGAGAGGACGAUCAGCCACACUGGCACUGCGACACGGGCCAGACUCCUACGGGAGGCAGCAGUAAGGAAUAUUGCGCAAUGGGCGAAAGCCUGACGCAGCGACGCCGCGUGGGGGAUGAAGGUC